This 253-nucleotide ribosomal RNA is filed under the name uncultured bacterium. RNAcentral's name for it is "partial 16S ribosomal RNA". It matches the Rfam family "Bacterial small subunit ribosomal RNA", at positions 524 to 776 of the family's 1533-position model. The record is from RNAcentral.
UACGUAGGGUGCGAGCGUUAAUCGGAAUUACUGGGCGUAAAGCGUGCGCAGGCGGUCUGUUAAGACAGAUGUGAAAUCCCCGGGCUUAACCUGGGAACUGCAUUUGUGACUGCAUGGCUAGGGUGCGGCAGAGGGGGAUGGAAUUCCGCGUGUAGCAGUGAAAUGCGUAGAUAUGCGGAGGAACACCGAUGGCGAAGGCAAUCCCCUGGGCCUGCACUGACGCUCAUGCACGAAAGCGUGGGGAGCAAACAGG